CGUAGGGUGCGAGCGUUAAUCGGAAUUACUGGGCGUAAAGCGUGCGCAGGCGGUUUAGUAAGACAGGCGUGAAAUCCCCGGGCUCAACCUGGGAACUGCGCUUGUGACUGCUAAGCUAGAGUACGGCAGAGGGGGGUGGAAUUCCACGUGUAGCAGUGAAAUGCGUAGAGAUGUGGAGGAACACCAAUGGCGAAGGCAGCCCCCUGGGUCGAUACUGACGCUCAUGCACGAAAGCGUGGGUAGCAAACAGGAUUAGAUACCCUGGUAGUCCACGCCCUAAACGUUGUCAACUAGGUGUUGGGAGGGUAAAACCUUUUAGUACCGGAGCUAACGCGUGAAGUUGACCGCCUGGGGAGUACGGCCGCAAGGUUA
This 372-nucleotide ribosomal RNA is filed under the name uncultured organism. RNAcentral's name for it is "bacterial SSU rRNA". It matches the Rfam family "Bacterial small subunit ribosomal RNA", at positions 526 to 896 of the family's 1533-position model. The record is from RNAcentral.